RNAcentral lists this non-coding RNA (49 nucleotides) under Trichobilharzia regenti. Lineage: Eukaryota; Metazoa; Platyhelminthes; Trematoda; Strigeidida; Schistosomatidae. The record is from RNAcentral.
GUGCUGAUGAAGAGUCCAAACCAGGACGAAACAACCGGAUGUCCAGUAC